Molecule: long non-coding RNA, 313 nt
Filed under: Nicotiana benthamiana
Lineage: Eukaryota; Viridiplantae; Streptophyta; Magnoliopsida; Solanales; Solanaceae
Description: long non-coding RNA (NBEN_LNC013052)
Source: RNAcentral
AUAGGAAAGUAUGGAGGUCUAGUAUCAAGGUUGUGGGAUAGGGGCCCCUAGAGUUUUUCAUACUCCACACCCGGGGUUGGGUGAGGCUUGGCAGGCUUAUUCAUAGAUGAUUUGUGUAUUGGAUUUUGUCUUAUGCUAGUUACUGUCCGAUAUUAUUGCAUGAUAUUUUAUUUAUAGUUUUUAUGUUUUUUUAUUUUUAGGUUUUUAUGUUUAGAUGAUUAUUUACGUUAUUUGUGUUGAAGUUACUAAUGCUCUUUUGUUGUUUUUGUUGUUUUUGUUUUUGUAGUCCCUUUCCUUCACUGAGCCGAGGGUC